AGAGCGAACGCUGGCGGCGUGCUUAACACAUGCAAGUCGAGUGCGCGCCUGUAGCAAUACAGGUGGCGCACGGCGCACGGGUGCGUAACACGUGGGUAAUCUGCCCUUCGAUGGGGAAUAACUCCGGGAAACCGAAGCUAAUUCCGCAUAACAUUCCUUGAACUUCGGUUUGGGACUCAAAGCCGUAAGGCGUCGGAGGAGGAACCCGCGCACGAUUAGCUAGUUGGUAGGGUAACGGCCUACCAAGGCUUUGAUCGUUAGCUGGU
This 266-nucleotide ribosomal RNA is filed under the name uncultured bacterium. RNAcentral's name for it is "partial small subunit ribosomal RNA". It matches the Rfam family "Bacterial small subunit ribosomal RNA", at positions 26 to 291 of the family's 1533-position model. The record is from RNAcentral.